AAGGCCGCGGAAGGCAAGAUGGCGGCGGGCUCCAGCGCCGCCUCUUCCGCCCUGCCGGGCGUCGCA
This 66-nucleotide microRNA precursor is filed under the name Mesocricetus auratus (golden hamster). RNAcentral describes it as "mir-718 microRNA precursor family". It matches the Rfam family "mir-718 microRNA precursor family". The record is from Rfam by way of RNAcentral. Lineage: Eukaryota; Metazoa; Chordata; Mammalia; Rodentia; Cricetidae.